RNAcentral lists this ribosomal RNA (1452 nucleotides) under uncultured Bordetella sp. Its description in RNAcentral is "partial 16S-23S ribosomal RNA intergenic spacer". It matches the Rfam family "Bacterial small subunit ribosomal RNA". The record is from RNAcentral. Lineage: Bacteria; Pseudomonadati; Pseudomonadota; Betaproteobacteria; Burkholderiales; Alcaligenaceae.
UUUGAUCAUGGCUCAGAUUGAACGCUGGCGGGAUACUUUACACAUGCAAGUCGAACGGCAGCACGGACUUCGGUCUGGUGGCGAGUGGCGAACGGGUGAGUAAUGUAUCGGAACGUGCCUAGUAGCGGGGGAUAACUACGCGAAAGCGUAGCUAAUACGCAUACGCCCUUCCAGGGAAAGCGGGGGACCUUCGGGCCUCGCACUAUUAAACGGCCGAUAUCGGAUUAGCUAGUUGGUGGGCAGCAGCUCCGCAAGGCGACGAUCCGUAGCUGGUUUGAGAGGACGACCAGCCACGCACUGGGACUGAGACACGGCCCAGACUCCUACGAGGCGGCAGUGGGGAAUUUUGGACAAUGGGGAAACCACAGUCAAAGCCAUCCCGCGUGUGCGAUGAAGGCCUUCGGGUUGUAAAGCACUUUUGGCAGGAAAGAAACGGCACGGGAUAAUACCCCGUGCAACUGACAGUACCUGCAGAAUAAGCACCGGCUAACGUGCCAACAGCCGCGGUAAUACGUAGGGUGCAAGCGUUAAUCGGAAUUACUGGGCGUAAAGCGUGCGCAGGCGGUUCGAAAGAAAGAUAAUGAUCCCAGAGCUUAACUGGGAACUGCAUUUUUAACUACCGAGCUAGAGUGUGUCAGAGGGAGGUGGAAUUCCGCGUAGCAGUGAAAUGCGUAGAUAUGCGGAGGAACACCGAUGGCGAAGGCAGCCUCCUGGGAUAACACUGACGCUCAUGCAAGUGGGAGCAAACGGGAUUAGAUACCCUGGUAGUCCACGCCUAAACGAUGUCAAUAGCUGUUGGGGCCUUCCGGGCCUUGGUAGCGCAGCUAACGCGUGAAGUUGACCGCCUGGGAAAUACAGUCGCAAGAUUAAAACUCAAAGGAAUUGACGGGGACCCGCACAAGCGGUGGAUGAUGUGGAUUAAUUCGAUGCAACGCGAAAAACCUUACCUACCCUUGACAUGUCUGGAAUCCGAAGAUUUGGGAGUGCUCGCAAGAGAACCGGAACACAGGUGCUGCAUGGCUGUCGUCAGCUCGUGUCGUGAGAUGUUGGGUUAAGUCCGCAACGAGCGCAACCACUUGUCAUUAGUUGCUACGAAAGGGCACUCAAUGAGACUGCCGGUGACAAACCGGAGAGAGGUGGGGAUGACGUCAGUCCUCAUGGCCCUUAUGGGUAGGGCUUCACCACGUCAUACAAUGGUCGGGACAGAGGGUCGCCAACCCGCGAGGGCAAUCCCGAAACCCGAUCGUCCGGAUCGCAGUCUGCAACUCGACUGCGUGAAGUCCAGGAGAAUCUGGCCAUCAGGAUCGUUUAUGUCGCGGUGAAUACGUUCCCGGGUCUUGUACACACCGCCCGUCACACCAUGGAAUUGGGUUUUACCAAGUAGUUAGCCUAACCGUAAGGAGGGCGAUUACCACGGUAGGAUUCAUGACUGGGGUGAAGUCAUAUUGGUAA